RNAcentral lists this ribosomal RNA (301 nucleotides) under uncultured bacterium. Its description in RNAcentral is "partial 16S ribosomal RNA". It matches the Rfam family "Bacterial small subunit ribosomal RNA", at positions 509 to 807 of the family's 1533-position model. The record is from RNAcentral.
CAGUAGCCGCGGUAAUACGAACCGUGCGAACGUUAUUCGGAAUCACUGGGCUUAAAGCGCGUGUAGGCGGGAGGGCACGUCCGUCGCUGAAAUCCCCCGGCUCAACCGGGGAACGGGCGCGGAUACGACUCUUCUGGAGGAACGUAGGGGGACCUGGAACUUCCGGUGGAGCGGUGAAAUGCGUUGAGAUCGGAAGGAACGCCCGUGGCGAAAGCGAGGUCCUGGACGUUUACUGACGCUGAGACGCGAAAGCCAGGGGAGCGAACGGGAUUAGAUACCCCGGUAGUCCCUGUCUCUUAUA